UAAGGAAUAUUGGUCAAUGGACGGAAGUCUGAACCAGCCAUGCCGCGUGGAGGAUGAAGGUCCUCUGGAUUGUAAACUUCUUUUAUCUGGGAAGAAAUCCAUCUUUUCUAGGGUGGUUGACGGUACCAGAUGAAUAAGCACCGGCUAACUCCGUGCCAGCAGCCGCGGUAAUACGGAGGGUGCAAGCGUUAUCCGGAUUCACUGGGUUUAAAGGGUGCGUAGGUGGGCAGGUAAGUCAGUGGUGAAAUCCUGUAGCUUAACUACAGAACUGCCAUUGAUACUAUCUGUCUUGAAUACCCUGGAGGUGAGCGGAAUAUGUCAUGUAGCGGUGAAAUGCUUAGAUAUGACAUAGAACACCCAUUGCGAAGGCAGCUCACUACGGGAAUAUUGACACUGAGGCACGAAAGCGUGGGGAUCAAACAGGAUUAGAUAACCCUGGUAGUCCACGCCCUAAACGAUGGAUACUCGACAUCAGCG
This 477-nucleotide ribosomal RNA is filed under the name uncultured Bacteroidota bacterium. RNAcentral describes it as "bacterial SSU rRNA". It matches the Rfam family "Bacterial small subunit ribosomal RNA", at positions 355 to 828 of the family's 1533-position model. Lineage: Bacteria; Pseudomonadati; Bacteroidota. The record is from RNAcentral.